UGGGGAAUAUUGCACAAUGGGCGAAAGCCUGAUGCAGCGACGCCGCGUGAGGGAUGACGGCCUUCGGGUUGUAAACCUCUUUCAGCAGGGAAGAAGCGAAAGUGACGGUACCUGCAGAAGAAGCGCCGGCUAACUACGUGCCAGCAGCCGCGGUAAUACGUAGGGCGCAAGCGUUGUCCGGAAUUAUUGGGCGUAAAGAGCUCGUAGGCGGUUAGUCGCGUCUGCUGUGAAAACUCGAGGCUCAACCUCGGGCUUGCAGUGGGUACGGGCUGACUAGAGUGCGGUAGGGGUGACUGGAAUUCCUGGUGUAGCGGUGGAAUGCGCAGAUAUCAGGAGGAACACCGAUGGCGAAGGCAGGUCACUGGGCCGCAACUGACGCUGAGGAGCGAAAGCAUGGGGAGCGAACAGGAUUAGAUACCCUGGUAGUCCAUGCCGUAAACGUUGGGCACUAGGUGUGGGGUCCAUUCCACGGAUUCCGUGCCGCAGCAAACGCAUUAAGUGCCCCGCCUGGGGAGUACGGCCGCAAGGCUAAAACUUAAAGGAAUUGAC
Molecule: ribosomal RNA, 549 nt
Filed under: uncultured bacterium
Lineage: Bacteria
Description: partial 16S ribosomal RNA
Rfam family: Bacterial small subunit ribosomal RNA
Source: RNAcentral